GACGAACGCUGGCGGCGUGCUUAACACAUGCAAGUCGAACGGAAAGGCCCUGCUUUUGUGGGGUGCUCGAGUGGCGAACGGGUGAGUAACACGUGAGUAACCUGCCCUUGACUUUGGGAUAACUUCAGGAAACUGGGGCUAAUACCGGAUAGGAGAUCCUGCUGCAUGGGGGGGGUUGGAGAGUGUCGGCGGUUGGGGAUGGACUCGCGGCUUAUCAGCUUGUUGGUGGGGUAGUGGCUUACAAAGCCUUUGACGGGUAGCCGGCCUGAGAGGGUGACCGGCCCCCUUGGGCCUGAGGUACGGCCCAGACUCCUACGGGAGGCAGCAGUGGGGAAUAUUGCACAAUGGGCGGAAGCCUGAUGCAGCAACGCCGCGUGCGGGAUGACGGCCUUCGGGUUGUAAACCGCUUUCGCCUGUGCCGAAGCGUGAGUGACGGUAAUGGGUAAAGAAGCACCGGCUAACUACGUG
This 468-nucleotide ribosomal RNA is filed under the name uncultured bacterium. RNAcentral's name for it is "partial 16S ribosomal RNA". It matches the Rfam family "Bacterial small subunit ribosomal RNA", at positions 28 to 507 of the family's 1533-position model. The record is from RNAcentral.